GUUGAAAUACCAGUUCCCGUACGAUUAUCGAAGUUAAGCAACGUCGAGCCUCGUCAGUACCUAGAUAGAUGACUAUUUAGGAAUACCAGGUGCUGUAA
This is a non-coding RNA of Acanthosepion pharaonis, 98 nucleotides long. The record is from the annotation of a GenBank genome assembly. Lineage: Eukaryota; Metazoa; Mollusca; Cephalopoda; Sepiida; Sepiidae.